AGCAGUAGCCGCGGGAAUACGUAGGGUGCGAGCGUUAAUCGGAAUUACUGGGCGUAAAGCGUGCGCAGGCGGUUCGUUAAGACAGAUGUGAAAUCCCCGGGCUUAACCUGGGAAUGGCAGUGGAUACUGGCUCGCUAGAGUGUGUCAGAGGAUGGUGGAAUUCCCGGUGUAGCGGUGAAAUGCGUAGAGAUCGGGAGGAACAUCAGUGGCGAAGGCGGCCAUCUGGGACAACACUGACGCUGAGGCACGAAAGCGUGGGGAGCAAACAGGAUUAGAUACCCGCGUAGUCCCUGUCUCUUAUAC
RNAcentral lists this ribosomal RNA (303 nucleotides) under uncultured bacterium. RNAcentral describes it as "partial 16S ribosomal RNA". It matches the Rfam family "Bacterial small subunit ribosomal RNA", at positions 507 to 807 of the family's 1533-position model. The record is from RNAcentral.